UUUAAAUGUAAAUUAUUAUUAUAUGAUUAGUGGUAGUUAUGGUCUUGAAAUUUAAAGAUUUUGGCGGUGUUUUAGUCUAUUCAGAGGAACCUGUUCUGUAAUUGAUAGUCCACGAAAAAUUUGACUUAAUUUAAAAAUUUGUAUAUCGUCGUUAUUAAAUAUUUUUUAAGAAUUUGAAUAUUUAAGAUUUAUAAAGUUAAAAUAUUUCAGAUCAAGGUGCAGUUUAUGAUUAAGUAGAGAUGGGUUACAAUAAAUUUAUUUAUAUGGUAUGAAAUAUGAAAAUUUUUAUUUAAAGUGGAUUUGAUAGUAAUAAAAUUUAUUUUAAUUUUAUGAUUUUAGCUCUAAAAUGUGC
Molecule: ribosomal RNA, 352 nt
Filed under: Chostonectes nebulosus
Lineage: Eukaryota; Metazoa; Arthropoda; Insecta; Coleoptera; Dytiscidae
Description: partial 12S ribosomal RNA
Source: RNAcentral